CGCUGGCGGCAUGCCUAACACAUUGCAAGUCGAACGAGACCUUCGGGUCUAGUGGCGCACGGGUGCGUAACGCGUGGGAAUCUGCCCCUUGGUUCGGAAUAACAGUUAGAAAUGACUGCUAAUACCGGAUGAUGACGAAAGUCCAAAGAUUUAUCGCCGAGGGAUGAGCCCGCGUAGGAUUAGCUAGUUGGUGAGGUUAAAAGGCUCACCAAGGCGACGAUCCUUAGCUGGUCUGAGAGGAUGAUCAGCCACACUGGGACUGAGACACGGCCCAGACUCCUACGGGAGGCAGCAGUGGGGAAUAUUGGACAAUGGGCGAAAGCCUGAUCCAGCAAUGCCGCGUGAGUGAUGAAGGCCUUAGGGUCGUAAAGCUCUUUACCAGGGAUGAUAAUGACAGUACCUGGAGAAUAAGCUCCGGCUAACUCCGUG
Molecule: ribosomal RNA, 429 nt
Filed under: uncultured bacterium
Lineage: Bacteria
Description: bacterial SSU rRNA
Rfam family: Bacterial small subunit ribosomal RNA
Source: RNAcentral